AGCAUGGGGACUUCGGCAGGCGGGAAGUAAAGGUCAGGUAUUAAAACCCUAACCCCGAGUGAAACCGAGGGCCUUAAACUCUCGCGAGAUCUCCGGGAGCCCAAUGGAACGCAGGGCUCUGCUUAUCACUAGGGCUAUUUGUUAGGGGCGGAGCUCCUGAGGUCUCUCCCGGAGAGUCGUAGGUGCCCGGCGUAACGGCUUAGCAGCUGUGCCACCGCUCUAAAGAGCGUAACCGUGGCCAUGAAGGAAGAAAAAGAUCAUAGGCCUAAGGAGAAACGAGUGACCCUGUUUACGCCGCAGGGCGCCACAGGCGGCUGUAUUGGCGCUACUGCCGAAGGCGCCAAAGGGGACGAUAGGCAGGAUCGCAACAGGGACAAGAAAGAAGCUUUGAGCAAGGUGGUAAUUCGAAGAUUACCUCCCACUUUGACCAAGGAACAGCUUCAGGAACAUCUUCAACCUAUGCCUGAGCACGAUUAUUUUGAGUUUUUUUCUAAUGAUACUAGCCUUUAUCCUCAUAUGUAUGCCAGAGCAUAUAUCAACUUUAAAAACCAAGAAGACAUUCUUUUAUUCAGGGACCGAUUUGAUGGCUAUGUAUUCCUUGACAAUAAGGGUCAAGAAUAUCAUGCUAUAGUAGAAUUUGCACCAUUUCAAAAAGCUGCAAAAAAGAAGAUUAAGAAAAGAGAUACAAAAGUUGGGACUAUCGAGGAUGAUCCAGAAUACAGAAAAUUUUUGGAGAGUUAUGCCACAGACAAUGAGAAAAUGACAUCUACUCCAGAGACAUUGCUGGAGGAAAUUGAAGCCAAAAAUCGAGAAUUAAUAGCUAAAAGGACAACGCCCCUUUUGAGCUUCCUGAAGAACAAGCAAAGAAUGAGAGAAGAAAAGAGAGAAGAAAGGAGGAGACGGGAAAUAGAGAGGAAAAGGCAAAGAGAAGAAGAGAGAAGAAAAUGGAAAGAAGAGGAGAAACGAAAAAGAAAAGAUAUAGAAAAACUAAAGAAGAUAGAAAGAAUUCCAGAAAGGGAGAAAAUAAGGGAUGAACCAAAGAUUAAGGUACACAGGUUUCUGUUACAAGCUGUGAAUCAGAAAAAUUUGCUCAGGAAACCGGAAAAAGGAGAUGAAAAAGAACUUGAUAAAAGAGACAAAACCAAGAGACUGGACAAAGAAAAUCUGAAUGAAGAAAGAGCCAGUGGGCACAGUUAUACUCUGCCCAGGCGUUCUGAUGUCGAACUGAAGGAUGAAAAGCCAAAGAGGCUCGAUGACGAGGGUGUCAGAGAUUACAGAGACAGGGACCGGGACUAUGAGAGAGAUCAGGAGCGCAUGAUCCGAGAAAGAGAGAGGCUGAAGCGGCAAGAAGAAGAGCGCCGGCGGCAGCAGCAGAAAGAACGCUAUGAGAAAGAGAAGGCUUUUAAGCGAAAGGAAGAAGAAAUGAAGAGAGAGAAAGAGGCACUUCGAGAUAAAGGAAAGAAGAGUGAGAAUACAGAAUCAAUAUGCUCAUUAGAAAAAAUUGAAAAAAAAGAGGAAGUGGUUAAGAGAGACCGCAUAAGGAACAAGGUGCUGCUGUUUUUUUAUUAAACUUGGUUGUUUUUAUGAGGAUUCCCCCCCUAUUCUUAGAAGGAUAAAUUUAAAGGAAUGUGCCCUAUCCCCACCCCCACUAGGUAUUGAAUCAUUGCAAGCUUUCUGCCAGUGAACUUCAUCCCCAGUCCCUAUUGUGGAAUUUUCAUUUUCUUUUUUUCUAAUUUAUGUAUUUAUUUUUUGCAUGUGUGCACAUGAGUGUGCACACGUGCAUACAUGUCCAGUGCAUGAAUAGUGGUGAGAGGACAGUUUGUGGGAGCCAUUUUCUCCUUCCACCAGGUGGGUUCUAGAGAUUGAACCCAGGUUGUCAAGCUUGGCAGCAAGUCCUCUUACCCAAUGAACCAUCUCAUCAGCCCAAUGGUAAUUUCUUUCUUUGUUUCUUUUCUUUUUUGUUUUUCUUUUUCUGUUCUCUUUCUUUCUCUCUCUCUUUUUUUGUUUUUGUUUUUUUUUUUCAAGACAGGGUUUCUCUUUGUAGCCCUGGCUGUCCUGGAACUCAUUUUGUAGACCAGGUUGACCUUGAACUCACAGAGUUCCGCCUGCCUCUGCCUCCUGAAUGCUGAGAUUAGCAGCAUGCCCCACCCUGCCCAGCUUCAAAGGUAAUUUCUUACUAUCCUAAUUAUUCCUAGUGAGAGUUUCCCAGUUGCAUCAUUAAUGUCUUUUUAAAUAAGGGCCAUGAACAAUGUUCAUAGUGUGUGGUUGAAUUCUAUUUUGAUCUAAACAAUCUUUUUUUUCCCUGAUACAUAAUUGUUUGUUGUAGAAACCAGUUUGUCCUAUGAAUCUUCUCAGACUGUACAUUGGCAAAUUAUAACUUCUUUAUCUCAUUGAACAUAUAUAUUCUGUUUCUUUUAUAAUUACUACUUAAGCACUAGUACUGUCAUAGACAACAGCAUAAAUGGAACCAUAGGUUCAAAACACAGCAUUAAAAAUUUAUAAUUAAACAAUUUUUAAAUGAAAAUAAUAGUCAAAUCUUGGAAAAACAGCUGCUAAUAUUUUAGGCUAUCUGAGCCAUAUAGUCUCUGUCACAACAGCUAAAUUCUUUAAGGAAAUAGACAUGGGUAAUAUAUAAAAAUGAGCUUGGGGUUGAGUGUGUUUCUCAGUAGUUAAAAGUGCUGGCCUAGCUUGCAUGGCAGGACACAGCUUUUAUCCUAGCACUUGGGAGGCAGAUGGAGGAGGAUCUCUGGAGGACAGCCUGGUCUAUUUACUUGAAUCCAAGGACAGUCGGGGCUAUGUAAAGAGACCCUGUAUCAAUAACAACACUUGGGGCUGGAGAGAUGGCUUAGCAGUUAAGGGGUGAAUAUUUUUUAUUUUUUCAAUUGCUAGUACCCAUGUCAGGCAGCUCACAGACAUAUAUAACUCCAGUCACUGUGGGCAACUGCAUGUACUUAUAGAUACACAUGCAUACUACUUCCCCACACAGUUAAAAAAAUAAUAAGGAAAAAUAAAUCUUUUUUUUUUUUAAGGCUAGGCAUGGUGUAUACCUGUAAUCCCAGAACGCAGGGGCAGAAGCAGGUGGGUUUCUGUAAGGCAAGCAGAUCUUUUCUUUUUUGCUAGGGAUCAAACCCAAAUCUAGUUAGGCAAGAAUUCUACCACUGAGCUAAAUCAAGCCAAACUUAAACAUAUUUUUGUGUAGUUUUAGAUUUUUAUAAUGAAUUUAUUGCAUGGGACAUGGUGGCCCAUGUCUGAAGGAGGAUUUCAAGUUGGAGGUCAGCCUAGGCUACUUUAGGCCCUGUUCUCCCUCUCCCACCACAAAAGGCGAUUUACUGGUAGAGAAUCACAGGCAUGUAGUUGUAGUUUCUCCAGUGACUUACACCCCCCCAGGCCAGUUGUCUAACCCCUGGCUUUGAAUGUAUUAAACACUCUGUUACUGAGCUACAGCUUGGCCCUUGGUUCUUGUAGUUUCUAAGUUUAAAAAAAUUAGGGGUAAUUAAUUCUUAUUACCUAAUACCUAUAAAUUAGGUUAUCUUGAGGUAGUUUUAAAAUUAGGCGAAUACAUUAUAUGCAUGUACAAAAUUCUCAAAGAAUUAAUAAAAUAUUAUUUUAAAAUUUAGAGGGGCUGGAGAGAUGGCUCAGCGGUAAAGAGCAAUGACUGCUCUUCCGAAGGUCCUGAGUUCAAAUCCCAGCAACCACAUGGUGGCUCACAACCAUCUGAAAUGAGAUCUGACGCCUUCUUCUGGUGUGUCUGAAGACAGCUACAGUGUACUUACAUAUAAUGAUAAAUAAAUCUUUAAAAAAAUUAGGCAAUAGACUUCUCAAAACAUCACCCUUGGCAUGUUAAGUAAUUCUUAAAUGACUACAGGUUGAGCAUAGUGCUAAACACUUUUAAUCCCAGCAUUCUCAAGAGGCAGAGACAGAUGGAUCUCUGUGAGCUCAAGGCCAGCCUGGUCUACAUGGGAAGUUCCAGGACUGCUAGACUACAUUGAAAGAUCCUGUCUCAAGUAAAGUGACAGCAGCUAGAGCUGGUGGUGACAGCUUGUAAUCCCAGGGAGGCUGAGGAUCGUCCAGCCAUGCAGCUUUACCAACCAGGAGCUCGAAGCCGAAGCCGACUCUGUCCCGCCGAUGACAGCAUCAAGCCUGGAGAUUCCCCAGUGGACAAAAAGCAGGAAAGUGGUAUUAGCCAUAGAAAAGAAGGAGGAGAGGAGUGAGAAGUCCAAAUGGUCAUAGGUGUCCUGACUGUCCAGGCAGCCAAAGAGCACGUAUUAUGCUAUCCAGAAGUGCCUUCAGGGCAAAGGAACAGAGAACAAGAAAAGGGGUCGCUGUGCUGGUGGGAUGUACUACAGAGGAGUGUGUCUAAGCAGAAUAAGAUUGCAGGCUCAGAACCGAAGGACAAUUUCAUUGUUUUCUGCAGUUUCCACAAGUUAAUUUUAAUGUCUCAGAAAAAGAUGGUAGCAAGAACAUUGCAAGUGAAAAAUGUCAAAUAAGGGCUUAACUUUGUAUGACAGCUAAAAAGAGCAGGUUCGAAAAUCAAUGGGUGCUCUUAAUCCUGGCUUGGAGCAUCUUCGUUUGAGUGGAGCAGAAACACACUAAGUUUCGUUGGGAUCUAACUAUUUUGCAUUGUUGGUGUUGACUGUUGACUCUGUAGUGUAGGAGCAAUGAGCAUGUAAUUGUAGCACAAGUAGAGCGGAGGAUAGAGCAAAUUAUGGCUGAUGGAAAAGAUUUAAAUAGUCACGUUACAUCUAUAUCCUGUGUCUGAAGUUUUCAUAAUUACAGCUUGUUUUAAUUCUGUAAAUGUAGCAUCAAAAAUUCCUUGUAAACAUCUCGUUUUUGCCUUUAGCGUUUUUUCCUAUUACUAGGUAAAAUGUAGCCCUUGGCUAGUUACUGACAAUCUAGUCUUUGUUUUAUCUUAGGUCUGAUGAUUUGAGUGCAUACCCUCUUCCAGGAAGGAAGCUACACCAUUAUCUGUUCCUGUUAUGGCAGCUUUCAGUCUUAGCUUGUUUUUGUAAUGCUGUCAAUAAAUUUCCACUUCGUUCCGGUUUGAA
RNA transcript from Mus musculus (house mouse), 5045 nucleotides. It is a transcript of the gene named UPF3 regulator of nonsense transcripts homolog B (yeast), with no coding region annotated. The transcript is spliced from 11 exons. Lineage: Eukaryota; Metazoa; Chordata; Mammalia; Rodentia; Muridae. The record is from RefSeq and is marked validated.